RNAcentral lists this small nucleolar RNA (64 nucleotides) under Lonchura striata (white-rumped munia). Its description in RNAcentral is "domestica (Bengalese finch) Small nucleolar RNA U54 (ENSLSDG00000014355.1)". It matches the Rfam family "Small nucleolar RNA U54". Lineage: Eukaryota; Metazoa; Chordata; Aves; Passeriformes; Estrildidae. The record is from RNAcentral.
UGGCUGUGAGGAUAAUGCUUUAAAUGAAUGGCAGUGAUCGCUCAUACGCUAUUCUGAGCCAACA